AUACGUAGGUGGCAAGCGUUGUCCGGAUUUACUGGGCGUAAAGAGCGCGCAGGCGGCCAAGUAAGUCGAAUGUGAAAGCCCCCGGCUCAACUGGGGAAGGUCAUUCGAUACUGCUUGGCUUGAAGAUAGGAGAGGGAAGUGGAAUUUCAGGUGUAGUGGUGAAAUGCGUAGAUAUCUGAAGGAACACCAGUGGCGAAGGCGACUUUCUGGCCUAUUCUUGACGCUGAGGCGCGAAAGCUAGGGGAGCGAACGGGAUUAGAAACCCCAGUAGUCC
RNAcentral lists this ribosomal RNA (274 nucleotides) under uncultured bacterium. RNAcentral's name for it is "partial 16S ribosomal RNA". It matches the Rfam family "Bacterial small subunit ribosomal RNA", at positions 523 to 796 of the family's 1533-position model. The record is from RNAcentral.